AAAUCCUUCACCAACACUCUCUUUCUUUGGAGGUAGUUUUACCAGCUGUAAAUGAUCGAGGGAUAGAGUGUGUAGGAGCAUCUAAGCAACUUUCAGAAGAUGCUCACCGAUCUCCUCAGUGUUGGUGAGAAAGUUGAGGAGAAGAUUAGGCCAUUGGUCUUAUUAUCAUCCCUUCCUUCCUCUUUGGAGUCUUUGGUGACUACUCUUCUAGUAGAAAAGUGCACCA
RNAcentral lists this long non-coding RNA (226 nucleotides) under Elaeis guineensis (African oil palm). Its description in RNAcentral is "long non-coding RNA (EGUI_LNC020602)". The record is from RNAcentral. Lineage: Eukaryota; Viridiplantae; Streptophyta; Magnoliopsida; Arecales; Arecaceae.